CCUACGGGAGGCAGCAGUGGGGGAUAUUGCACAAUGGGGGAAACCCUGAUGCAGCGACGCCGCGUGAGUGAAGAAGUAUUUCGGUAUGUAAAGCUCUAUCAGCAGGGAAGAAAAUGACAGUACCUGACCAAGAAGCCCCGGCUAACUACGUGCCAGCAGCCGCGGUAAUACGUAGGGGGCAAGCGUUAUCCGGAUUUACUGGGUGUAAAGGGAGGGUAGACGGUUAUGUAAGUCUGGUGUGAAAGCACGGGGCCCAACCCCGGGACUGCGUGGGAAACUGUGUGACUGGAGUGAAGGAGGGGCAGGCGGAAGUGCGGGUGUAGAGGUGAAAUGCGUAGAUAUCAGGAGG
Molecule: ribosomal RNA, 349 nt
Filed under: uncultured bacterium
Lineage: Bacteria
Description: partial 16S ribosomal RNA
Rfam family: Bacterial small subunit ribosomal RNA
Source: RNAcentral